RNAcentral lists this ribosomal RNA (403 nucleotides) under bacterium. RNAcentral's name for it is "partial 16S ribosomal RNA". It matches the Rfam family "Bacterial small subunit ribosomal RNA", at positions 355 to 776 of the family's 1533-position model. The record is from RNAcentral.
UGGGGAAUAUUGCACAAUGGAGGGAACUCUGAUGCAGCGACGCCGCGUGAACGAAGAAGGCUUUCGAGUCGUAAAGGUCUUUUAUAUGGGAAGAUAAUGACGGUACCAUAAGAAAAAGCCCCGGCUAACUACGUGCCAGCAGCCGCGGUAAUACGUAGGGGGCUAGCGUUGUCCGGAAUCACUGGGCGUAAAGGGUUCGCAGGCGGAAAUGCAAGUCAGGUGUAAAAGGCAGUAGCUUAACUACUGUAAGCAUUUGAAACUGCAUAUCUUGAGAAGAGUAGAGGUAAGUGGAAUUUUUAGUGUAGCGGUGAAAUGCGUAGAUAUUAAAAAGAAUACCGGUGGCGAAGGCGACUUACUGGGCUCAUUCUGACGCUGAGGAACGAAAGCGUGGGUAGCAAACAGG